Molecule: ribosomal RNA, 464 nt
Filed under: Promyrmekiaphila sp. BOH1
Lineage: Eukaryota; Metazoa; Arthropoda; Arachnida; Araneae; Euctenizidae
Also listed under: 1 other name
Description: partial 16S ribosomal RNA
Rfam family: Bacterial large subunit ribosomal RNA
Source: RNAcentral
UCGCCUGUUUAUCAAAAACAUCUCUAAAUGAAUUUAUUUUUAGUAAGACCUGCACAAUGAACCUUUAAAUUGCCGCAUUUUAUGUGCUAAGGUAGCAUAAUCAUUUGCCUUUUAAUUAAAGGCUAGUAUGAACGGUUGUUCAUGAGGAUUUCUUUAUUAAUUCUAUUACUUCAAUUUUUUCUAUAAGUAAAAAAACUUAUAUUUUAUAAGAGGGACGACAAGACCCUAUCGAGCUUUACUUUUGUUGAACUGGGGCGGUAAAAAACUAAAUCUUUUUUAAUUUUCCUUAAAAUAUCCUUUUUAUAAGAUUAUUAAGUUACCGUAGGGAUAACAGCAUAAUCUUCUUUUAUAGUUCUUAUUGAAAAGAAAGUUUGUGACCUCGAUGUUGAAUUAUUAAUCUUUUUGAAGCAAAAUUUAAAAAAGAAAGUCUGUUCGACUUUUAAAAUUUUACGUGAUCUGAGUUC